This 467-nucleotide ribosomal RNA is filed under the name uncultured bacterium. RNAcentral describes it as "partial 16S ribosomal RNA". It matches the Rfam family "Bacterial small subunit ribosomal RNA", at positions 29 to 507 of the family's 1533-position model. The record is from RNAcentral.
ACGAACGCUGGCGGCGUGCUUAACACAUGCAAGUCGAACGGAAAGGCCCUGCUUUUGUGGGGUGCUCCAGUGGCGAACGGGUGAGUAACACGUGAGUAACCUGCCCUUGACUUUGGGAUAACUUCAGGAAACUGGGGCUAAUACCGGAUAGGAGCUCCUGCUGCAUGGUGGGGGUUGGAAAGUUUCGGCGGUUGGGGAUGGACUCGCGGCUUAUCAGCUUGUUGGUGGGGUAGUGGCUUACCAAGGCUUUGACGGGUAGCCGGCCUGAGAGGGUGACCGGCCACAUUGGGACUGAGAUACGGCCCAGACUCCUACGGGAGGCAGCAGUGGGGAAUAUUGCACAAUGGGCGGAAGCCUGAUGCAGCAACGCCGCGUGCGGGAUGACGGCCUUCGGGUUGUAAACCGCUUUCGCCUGUGACGAAGCGUGAGUGACGGUAAUGGGUAAAGAAGCACCGGCUAACUACGUG